UCACCUGGCUGGCCCGCCCAG
Molecule: microRNA, 21 nt
Filed under: Homo sapiens (human)
Lineage: Eukaryota; Metazoa; Chordata; Mammalia; Primates; Hominidae
Description: hsa-miR-6765-3p
Source: miRBase by way of RNAcentral